RNAcentral lists this ribosomal RNA (1216 nucleotides) under Phaeosphaeriopsis sp. RNAcentral describes it as "LSU rRNA". It matches the Rfam family "Eukaryotic large subunit ribosomal RNA", at positions 136 to 1370 of the family's 3401-position model. Lineage: Eukaryota; Fungi; Ascomycota; Dothideomycetes; Pleosporales; Phaeosphaeriaceae. The record is from RNAcentral.
GUCCGAGUUGUAAUUUGCAGAGGGCGCUUUGGCAUUGGCAGCGGUCCAAGUUCCUUGGAACAGGACGUCACAGAGGGUGAGAAUCCCGUACGUGGUCGCUAUCCUUUGCUGUGUAAAGCCCCUUCGACGAGUCGAGUUGUUUGGGAAUGCAGCUCUAAAUGGGAGGUAAAUUUCUUCUAAAGCUAAAUACUGGCCAGAGACCGAUAGCGCACAAGUAGAGUGAUCGAAAGAUGAAAAGCACUUUGGAAAGAGAGUCAAAUAGCACGUGAAAUUGUUGAAAGGGAAGCGCUUGCAGCCAGACUUGCCUGUAGUUGCUUAUCUGGACUUUUGUCCAGUGCACUCUUCUGCAGGCAGGCCAGCAUCAGUUUGGGCGGUUGGAUAAAGGUCUCUGUCAUGUACCUCUUUUCGGGGAGGCCUUAUAGGGGAGACGACAUGCAACCAGCCCAGACUGAGGUCCGCGCAUCUGCUAGGAUGCUGGCGUAAUGGCUGUAAGCGGCCCGUCUUGAAACACGGACCAAGGAGUCUAACAUCUAUGCGAGUGUUUGGGUGUCAAGCCCAGACGCGUAAUGAAAGUGAACGGAGGUGGGAACCCUUUGGGUGCACCAUCGACCGAUCCUGAUGUCUUCGGAAGGAUUUGAGUAAGAGCAUGGCUGUUGGGACCCGAAAGAUGGUGAACUAUGCUUGAAUAGGGUGAAGCCAGAGGAAACUCUGGUGGAGGCUCGCAGCGGUUCUGACGUGCAAAUCGAUCGUCAAAUUUGGGCAUAGGGGCGAAAGACUAAUCGAACUAUCUAGUAGCUGGUUCCUGCCGAAGUUUCCCUCAGGAUAGCAGUAACGUAUUCAGUUUUAUGAGGUAAAGCGAAUGAUUAGAGGCCUGGGGGGUUGAAACAACCUUUCACCUAUUCUCAAACUUUAAAUAUGUAAGAAGUCCUUGUUUACUUGAUUGAACGUGGACAUUUGAAUGUACCGUUACUAGUGGGCCAUUUUUGGUAAGCAGAACUGGCGAUGCGGGAUGAACCGAACGCGGGGUUAAGGUGCCAGAAUAUACGCUCAUCAGACACCACAAAAGGUGUUAGUUCAUCUAGACAGCAGGACGGUGGCCAUGGAAGUCGGAAUCCGCUAAGGAGUGUGUAACAACUCACCUGCCGAAUGAACUAGCCCUGAAAAUGGAUGGCGCUCAAGCGUAUUACCCAUACCCCGCCGCCAGGGCAGAAUUUAU